GGUUCUCUGGCUCAAUGGUAGAGCGACGCUUUGUUAAGGCGUGGGUUGUGGGUUCAAAUCCCGCGGGAACCG
This 72-nucleotide transfer RNA is filed under the name Neolewinella agarilytica. RNAcentral describes it as "Lewinella agarilytica tRNA". It matches the Rfam family "tRNA". From Rfam's summary of the family: Transfer RNA (tRNA) molecules are approximately 80 nucleotides in length. The record is from Rfam by way of RNAcentral. Lineage: Bacteria; Pseudomonadati; Bacteroidota; Saprospiria; Saprospirales; Lewinellaceae.